RNAcentral lists this ribosomal RNA (381 nucleotides) under Triticum aestivum (bread wheat). RNAcentral's name for it is "partial small subunit ribosomal RNA". The record is from RNAcentral. Lineage: Eukaryota; Viridiplantae; Streptophyta; Magnoliopsida; Poales; Poaceae.
AUGCUCAAAGGCUCGCCAAGGAGCUGGGUGAGCUCCGUCAAAGGUAUGGAGUAUGGACUCGAGGCAUACGCGGAUGGUGUGGGGAAUGCCAUUGAUCCUCGCCUCAAGGCUGUGUAUAGAGAUGUCACGGAGCUUGUAGGCAUCGAGGCCACCCGGGAUGAGCUGAUCGAAAAGCUCCUUGAUGGGGAUGGGAAGUCCAAGCAGCAACUCAAGACACUGUCUAUUGUUGGAUUCGGUGGAUUAGGGAAGACCACCCUUGCCAAAGCGGUGUACGACAAGAUCAGGGCGCAGUUCAGUUGUGGAGUGUUUGUUUCCGUGUCUCGAAAUCCUGACGUCACAAAGAUUUUUAAGAAGGAUGUUGUAUGGACUAGACAGUACUGA